GAGAGGUGGGGGGUGGACGAGAGGGAGAGAGGUGGGGUGGACGAGAGGGAGAGAGGUGGGGUGGACGAGAGGGAGAGGAGAGGGAGAGAGGUGAGGUGGAGGAGAGAGGGAGAGAGAUGGGGUGGAAGAGAGAUGAGGUGGGAGAGAGGGGGAGAGGUGAGGUGGAGGAGAGAGGGAGAGAGGUGAGGUGGGAGAGAGGGGGAGAGGUGAGGUGGAGGAGAGAGGGAGAGAGAUGAGGUGGAGGAGAGAGGGAGAGAGGUGAGGUGGAGGAGAGAGGGGGAGAGGUGAGGUGGAGGAGAGAGGGAGAGAGAUGAGGUGGAGGAGAGAGGGAGAGAGGUGAGAUGGACGAGAGAAACCAACAUCCUUAACAUUCAACAUCCCGAGGCUACUGCAUUAAAAUCUUGCACAGUGUGAGUCAAAAGGUAGAAUGCAACACAAAUCACCACGGAUAACAAAUAGUCAUAAAGACGUGAAGGCCGAUGUGGAGAACUAUAAAGGUCUUACCUGAGCGGCUCGCAGGGACCGGGGAGUGAAGCGGGAGGAAGAGAAGGCGCGCGAUUAUAUAUACGGUGUCGCACCCACCCCUCCGGACUUCCUCAUUCAGACGGGGAGAAACCGGGGCGCGUUCAGU
Molecule: long non-coding RNA, 631 nt
Filed under: Salmo salar (Atlantic salmon)
Lineage: Eukaryota; Metazoa; Chordata; Actinopteri; Salmoniformes; Salmonidae
Description: lncRNA (ENSSSAG00000112856.1)
Source: RNAcentral